UCCUGGAGAAACGUAGUGAGUUAUUUCAAUUGAUUGUUCACAAAGACUGAACUUGUUCUCCUCACUACGGCACUUGACUUGGGGGAA
Cercocebus atys (sooty mangabey) is the source of this 87-nucleotide unclassified non-coding RNA. It matches the Rfam family "Y RNA". From Rfam's summary of the family: Y RNAs are components of the Ro ribonucleoprotein particle (Ro RNP), in association with Ro60 and La proteins. The Y RNAs and Ro60 and La proteins are well conserved, but the function of the Ro RNP is not known. In humans the RNA component can be one of four small RNAs -- hY1, hY3, hY4 and hY5. The record is from Ensembl. Lineage: Eukaryota; Metazoa; Chordata; Mammalia; Primates; Cercopithecidae.